Capsicum annuum is the source of this 995-nucleotide long non-coding RNA. RefSeq lists it as uncharacterized. The transcript is spliced from 3 exons. NCBI's taxonomy places the organism in Eukaryota, Viridiplantae, Streptophyta, Magnoliopsida, Solanales, Solanaceae. The record is from RefSeq and is a predicted model, not a curated record.
AAUUCUCAACCCAACCAAAUAAUCCUUUUGCUUUUCCUCCCUUAACAAAUAGCGCAACAACACCAUUCAACAUAGCAACAGCGUAACAGCAACAAACGACACCAGCAACAGUGUCAACACAGUCCACCACUGCAACCCGAACCCAGAUGCACUUUUACUAUUUUUGCCCCCCGGUUCAGCGUCUAUGGCAAAAAAUUAAAUGGUUUUCAUCUUUCUUAGUCGUUGAUUCACUUUUUCAGAUUGAGGUCCAUAAUUUCAAAAUUCAACACCUUUUUCUCCCCAAUUUUGCCUAUAAAUGGAGGCUAAGGGAUAAGGGUUAAGGGGGAGGAUUUUUGGGGAAAAAGUGAGGAUUCGGUAGUCACGUGCUUCUAAUCCUAUGCAACCAAAAAUUCUCGAAGAAACAUCGAUUUGAAGUCGUCCAUUCGUCGUCCUGUUCGCUGCUCCGGAAAAGGAAACUAGGUUUUGGAUGCUAAGUUCAUGAAAAGGAGAAAAAAAGGUAUUUUUGGCUACUUAUGUGAGCAAUAAUGGGUGUUCAUGACCAAAACAUGUGCGGGAAUAGAAGAAGAGCCGAAGAAAAUAACUUCUGGUACUUGCUAAGUCAACAUGUGGAUCGCAUGUAGUAUAUAUGGACCGCAUGUGGACAAAGCAUGUGAUAGAAGUCCAAAAUCUCGAGAGCAUACCUACAGGAAUUUUUUGUCUGAGCACAUGCGGUCACUACAUGCACCAAGCUUGUAGGCCGAAUGUACUACAUGCACCCAAGGCCAGGCCGCAUGUGGUGACCACAUGUAGCCAUCGACCCUGUUUUCUCUUAUUUCGUUUGAGCUUUGGAUUUAGGGUUUCCUCAUGAAAAAUAAAUACUCCUUAUGUGUUUCUUAGUAGAAGUUACUCACUCUUGAUACUUACAAACAUAUUUUGAUCUCGAGAUUUGAUUUUGAUCUUGGAAUUCUCUUGUAUUGAUUUUGGUUGAUUAAUUCAGUUAUGGUUUUGGGAUUUUA